CGGUACAGGGUGAUAGUCCCGUACACCAAAAUGCACAGGCUGUGAACUCGAAGAGUAGGGCGGGACACGUGGUAUCCUGUCUGAAUAUGGGGGGACCAUCCUCCAAGGCUAAAUACUCCUGACUGACCGAUAGUGAACCAGUACCGUGAGGGAAAGGCGAAAAGAACCCCGGCGAGGGGAGUGAAAAAGAACCUGAAACCGUGUACGUACAAGCAGUGGGAGCACCUUCGGGUGUGACUGCGUACCUUUUGUAUAAUGGGUCAGCGACUUAUAUUCUGUAGCAAGGUUAACCGUAUAGGGGAGCCGCAGGGAAACCGAGUCUUAACUGGGCGUUAAGUUGCAGGGUAUAGACCCGAAACCCGGUGAUCUAGCCAUGGGCAGGUUGAAGGUUGGGUAACACUAACUGGAGGACCGAACCGACUAAUGUUGAAAAAUUAGCGGAUGACUUGUGGCUGGGGGUGAAAGGCCAAUCAAACCGGGAGAUAGCUGGUUCUCCCCGAAAGCUAUUUAGGUAGCGCCUCGUGAACUCAUCUUCGGGGGUAGAGCACUGUUUCGGCUAGGGGGUCAUCCCGACUUACCAACCCGAUGCAAACUACGAAUACCGAAGAAUGUUAUCACGGGAGACA
Molecule: ribosomal RNA, 626 nt
Filed under: Klebsiella pneumoniae
Lineage: Bacteria; Pseudomonadati; Pseudomonadota; Gammaproteobacteria; Enterobacterales; Enterobacteriaceae
Description: partial 23S ribosomal RNA
Rfam family: Bacterial large subunit ribosomal RNA
Source: RNAcentral